GUAGAUAAUGUAUGUUUAGAGGUUGAGUUUGGUUGCUCAGAAGCUUUCUGCUCAAAGGGUGUAUGUGCAGAUGAUUAUGAUUCUUCAGUCUCACUUUGUUCAUCCACCUCUUCCUCAAAUUGUGGAGGAGAUGAAGCUACAUUUGGACUCUUUUUUUUUGUACCUUUUGAGCUGUGGCUCCUCUUCUUCAUAGUCAGACUCAUCAAAGAGCUUUCGAGGUACGCUUCCUUAAG
This 233-nucleotide long non-coding RNA is filed under the name Capsicum annuum. RNAcentral describes it as "long non-coding RNA (CANN_LNC002010)". The record is from RNAcentral. Lineage: Eukaryota; Viridiplantae; Streptophyta; Magnoliopsida; Solanales; Solanaceae.